UAGUGGCGAACGGGUGAGUAACGCGUGAGCAACCUGCCUUUCAGAGGGGGACAACAGUUGGAAACGACUGCUAAUACCGCGUAAGACCACGGGAUCGCAUGAUCUUGAGGUCAAAGGAGCAAUCCGGUUUGAGAUGGGCUCGCGUCCGAUUAGCUAGUUGGUGAGAUAAAAGCCCACCAAGGCGACGAUCGGUAGCCGACCUGAGAGGGUGAUCGGCCACAUUGGAACUGAGAAACGGUCCAGACUCCUACGGGAGGCAGCAGUGGGGAAUAUUGGGCAAUGGGCGAAAGCCUGACCCAGCAACGCCGCGUGAGGGAAGAAGGGUUUCGGCUCGUAAACCUCUGUCCUAUGGGACGAAGGAAGUGACGGUACCAUAGGAGGAAGCCCCGGCUAACUACGUGCCAGCAGCCGCGGUAAUACGUAGGGGGCGAGCGUUGUCCGGAAUGAUUGGGCGUAAAGGGCGCGUAGGCGGCCUGUUAAGUCUGGAGUGAAAGUCCUGCUUUCAAGGUGGGAAUUGCUUUGGAUACUGAUGGGCUCGAGUGCAGGAGAGGAAAGCGGAAUUACCGGUGUAGCGGUGAAAAUGCGUGGAGAUCGGUGGGAACACCAGUGGCGAAGGGGGCUUUCUGGACUGUAACUGACACUGAGGCGCGAAAGCGUGGGGAGCAAACAGGAUUAGAUACCCUGGUAGUCCACGCCGUAAACGAUGAGUGCUAAGUGUUAGGGGGUUUCCGCCCCUUAGUGCUGCAGCUAACGCAUUAAGCACUCCGCCUGGGGAGUACGGUCGCAAGACUGAAACUCAAAGGAAUUGACGGGGGCCCGCACAAGCGGUGGAGCAUGUGGUUUAAUUCGAAGCAACGCGAAGAACCUUACCAGGUCUUGACAUCCGGAUGACCGGACCUUAAUCGGUCUUUUCCUUCGGGACAUCCGAGACAGGUGGUGCAUGGUUGUCGUCAGCUCGUGUCGUGAGAUGUUGGGUUAAGUCCCGCAACGAGCGCAACCCUUAUCUUUAGUAGCCAGCAUUUAGGAUGGGCACUCUAGAGAGACUGCCAGGGAUAACCUGGAGGAAGGUGGGGAUGACGUCAAAUCAUCAUGCCCCUUAUGACCAGGGCUACACACGUGCUACAAUGGCGUAAACAAAGGGAAGCGAUCACGUGAGUGUAAGCAAAUCUCAAAAAUAACGUCUCAGUUCGGAUUGUAGUCUGCAACUCGACUACAUGAAGCUGGAAUCGCUAGUAAUCGCGAAUCAGCAUGUCGCGGUGA
Molecule: ribosomal RNA, 1260 nt
Filed under: uncultured bacterium
Lineage: Bacteria
Description: bacterial SSU rRNA
Rfam family: Bacterial small subunit ribosomal RNA
Source: RNAcentral